ACUCUAUAUAGUUUUCCACUGCAGUGGAAUGUGCAUAUUCAGUUUAUAUGUUUGGCAUAAACCGAUAGAGGACAAAGGAUACACAAAAGUAUCUAUUUAUUCUGUUUUUUUUUUUUUUUUCUUUUUUUUUUUUCCUGUCACAUACGCUCCAAGUUGUUCUCUCACUCCCCCUCCUCUGCUGGACAAGGGUGGAUUUUAUCAACAUGCAAAUCAAUAAUUC
Molecule: long non-coding RNA, 220 nt
Filed under: Gallus gallus (chicken)
Lineage: Eukaryota; Metazoa; Chordata; Aves; Galliformes; Phasianidae
Source: RNAcentral